AGAGUUUGAUCCUGGCUCAGAUUGAACGCUGGCGGCAUGCCUUACACAUGCAAGUCGAACGGUAACAGGUCUUCGGAUGCUGACGAGCGGCGAACGGGUGAGUAAUACAUCGGAACGUGCCCGAUCGUGGAGGAUAACGAGGCGAAAGCUUUGCUAAUACCGCAUACGAUCUACGGAUGAAAGCGGGGGAUCUUCGGACCUCGCGCGGACGGAGCGGCCGAUGGCAGAUUAGGUAGUUGGUGGGAUAAAAGCUUACCAAGCCGACGAUCUGUAGCUGGUCUGAGAGGAUGAUCAGCCACACUGGGACUGAGACACGGCCCAGACUCCUACGGGAGGCAGCAGUGGGGAAUUUUGGACAAUGGGCGAAAGCCUGAUCCAGCCAUGCCGCGUGCAGGAUGAAGGCCUUCGGGUUGUAAACUGCUUUUGUACGGAACGAAAAGCCUCUUUCUAAUAAAGAGGGGUCAUGACGGUACCGUAAGAAUAAGCACCGGCUAACUACGUGCCAGCAGCCGCGGUAAUACGUAGGGUGCAAGCGUUAAUCGGAAUUACUGGGCGUAGAGCGUGCGCAGGCGGUUUUGUAAGACAGAGGUGAAAUCCCCGGGCUCAACCUGGGAACUGCCUUUGUGACUGCAAGGCUGGAGUGCGGCAGAGGGGGAUGGAAUUCCGCGUGUAGCAGUGAAAUGCGUAGAUAUGCGGAGGAACACCGAUGGCGAAGGCAAUCCCCUGGGCCUGCACUGACGCUCAUGCACGAAAGUGUCGGGAGCAAACAGGAUUAGAUACCCUGGUAGUCCACGCCCUAAACGAUGUCAACUGGUUGUUGGGUCUUCACUGACUCAGUAACGAAGCUAACGCGUGAAGUUGACCGCCUGGGGAGUACGGCCGCAAGGUU
This 889-nucleotide ribosomal RNA is filed under the name uncultured bacterium. RNAcentral's name for it is "bacterial SSU rRNA". It matches the Rfam family "Bacterial small subunit ribosomal RNA", at positions 8 to 895 of the family's 1533-position model. The record is from RNAcentral.